CCGUUGCCGGCGACCGGCGCACGGGUGAGUAACACGUAUGCAACCUGCCCGUGGGCAGGGGGAGUAAGCGGGGGAAAACCCCCGGUCUAAUACCGCGUAACGCGGCCUAGGGACAUCCCAAGGCCGCCAAAGGGAGCAAUCCCGGCCACGGAUGGGCAUGCGGCGCAUUAGCUAGUCGGCGGGGUAACGGCCCACCGAGGCGACGAUGCGUAGGGGUUCUGAGAGGAAGGCCCCCCACACUGGUACUGAGACACGGACCAGACUCCUACGGAAGGCAGCAG
Molecule: ribosomal RNA, 281 nt
Filed under: uncultured bacterium
Lineage: Bacteria
Description: partial 16S ribosomal RNA
Rfam family: Bacterial small subunit ribosomal RNA
Source: RNAcentral